RNAcentral lists this ribosomal RNA (2259 nucleotides) under Triticum aestivum (bread wheat). Its description in RNAcentral is "partial small subunit ribosomal RNA". The record is from RNAcentral. Lineage: Eukaryota; Viridiplantae; Streptophyta; Magnoliopsida; Poales; Poaceae.
AUGCCCCUACCCGUUCCCACCUCCCGCCUCCUCGCCGCCAUCUCCGCUGCCGCGUCCUCAACUGCAGACCUCCGCCGCCUCUCCCACCUCCUCCUCACCCCCUACACCCCACUCCCCCCGCUCCGCUGCCUCAAUACCCUCCUCAUGGCGCUCGCCCGCCACCGCAUGCUCCCAGACAUGGAGUCCUUCGCAUCCCGCAUGCCCGCGCGCAACCUUCACACGUACACCACCCUUAUCAAUGCCUACUGCCUCGCCGGCGACCUCCCUGCUGCCAAGCGGCAUCUUGCCUCCCUACUCCGCGCUGGUCUUGCGCCGGACUCUCAUGCGUAUACCUCAUUUGUUCUCGGAUAUUGUCGGGCCGGGCUGCUUUCGCACGCCUGCCGGGUGUUCGUGCUAAUGCCGCUCCGAGGAUGUGCACGCACUGUGUUCACGUACACUGCGUUGCUCCAUGGGCUGUGUGGCGCCGGUAUGGUGCGUGAGGCUGUGGCAGUGUUUGCUGGGAUGCGGGCAGACGGGUGCGCCCCUGACACACAUGUGUAUGCCACGAUGGUGCAUGGACUGUGUGGGGCGGGGCGAACUGGUGAGGCAGAGGUUAUUCUCACGGAGGCAAUGGCUGAGGGUUUUGAGCCAAAUGUGGUCGUCUACAAUGCCCUGAUUGAUGGCUACUGCAAUGCUGGGGAUCUGGAGCUCGCGGUUAAGGUUUAUGAGAGGAUGGAUCUUAAGGGGUGCUCAGCGAACGUGCGAACGUAUACUGAGCUGAUAUGUGGGUUCUGCAAAUCUGGCAAGGUGGACAGAGCCAUGGUGAUGUUCAGCCGGAUGGUUGAGGCUGGUUUGGCUCCAAAUGUGGUGACAUACACGGCCUUAAUUCAGGGGCAGUGCAAUGAUGGGCAGUUGGAAUGUGCUUUUAGGAUGCUCCAAUCGAUGGAGGCCACUGGGCUGGUUCCUAGUGAGUGGACUUGCUCGAUGUUGAUUGAUGCUCUGUGCAAACGUGGAAGGGUUGGGGAAGCUCAGUUGUUUCUUGGGUCUCUUAUACAGAAAGGAUACAGAGUGAAUGAGAUUGUCUACAGCAGCUUGAUUGAUGGACUGUGCAAGGCAGGAAAGGUUGAUGCUGCUGACAAGUUAAUGCAGAAAUUGGUUUCACAGGGGUUUGUGCUAGACGCUCACACAUACAGUUCACUAAUUGAUGGAUUAUGCAGGCAAAAGGAGUUGUCACAAGCGAUGUUGGUGUUGGAUGAUAUGAUGGUGAAAGGAGUACAACCCAAUACUGUCACGUAUACCAUUCUAAUUGAUGAGCUUGUUAGGGAGCUAGGAUCUGAAGGUUCAAAGAAGAUACUUAAUAAGAUGAUUGCGGCAGGAAUUAAUCCUGAUGUUUUCACGUACACAAUAUUUGUUCGCUCCUACUGUCAUGAGGGAAGGAUGGAAGAUGCUGAACAUAUGAUGGUUGAAAUGGUUGAUCAGGGCAUUUCCCCUAAUUUAGUGACAUAUAACACUUUGAUUAGUGGGUAUGCAAAUUUAGGACUAGCCAGUCAAGCAUUUUCAGUUUUCAAGCACAUGGUUGCUAGUAGAUGCAAGCCAAAUGAGGAGUCCUACACGGCCCUGCUUAGAUUAUUGGUAAAGAAAAAAUCCUCUAAUAAUAUCCUUGCCAGCUCUGUUGAUAUAUGGAAAAUAGCAGAAAUGGAAUAUCUCCAGGAGCUUCUGGAGGAGGUGGUUAAGCUUCAGUUGCUUUCAGACAUUGAAAUUUACAAUUGUUUUCUUAGGUCUUUAUGCCGAGUUGAUAGAUUGGAGGAAACCAAAAUUUUGCUCGGUGAGAUGCAGAGUGCUAACUUGACCCCUGGUGAGGAUGUAUAUACUUCAAUUAUAGGGUGUUGUUGCAGACUAAAAAUGCCAACAGAAGCUUUGACAUUUCUUGAUUCAAUGGUCAAAAGUGGUUAUUUACCACGUAUAGAAUCGUAUAGGCAUAUUAUUUGUUCUCUUUGUGAGGAGGGAAGUAUUAAGACUGCUAAAAAGGUUUUGGGUCACAUGUUAUUGGAGGAAUACAACUAUGAUGAGAUUGUUUGGAAGAUUCUGAUUGAUGGUCUAUUGCGGAAGGGCAAUGCUGCUGAGUGUUUGAUUCUGCUCUCAGUGAUGGAGGAGCAAGAUUAUCGUCCUGGUGACGCAUUGUAUGCCAAGCUUACAGCCACUUGCUCUUUCAGCAGGCUGUUUCAUCCCUUGGAGGAAGCACACCCUUUCAGAAUACCACACAAACUCUACAUAGAAUAG